RNAcentral lists this ribosomal RNA (465 nucleotides) under Vreelandella stevensii. Its description in RNAcentral is "partial 16S ribosomal RNA". It matches the Rfam family "Bacterial small subunit ribosomal RNA", at positions 338 to 795 of the family's 1533-position model. The record is from RNAcentral. Lineage: Bacteria; Pseudomonadati; Pseudomonadota; Gammaproteobacteria; Oceanospirillales; Halomonadaceae.
CCUACGGGAGGCUGCAGUGGGGAAUAUUGGACAAUGGGCGAAAGCCUGAUCCAGCCAUGCCGCGUGUGUGAAGAAGGCCUUCGGGUUGUAAAGCACUUUCAGUGGGGAAGAAAGCCUUGGGGCUAAUACCCUCGAGGAAGGACAUCACCCACAGAAGAAGCACCGGCUAACUCCGUGCCAGCAGCCGCGGUAAUACGGAGGGUGCGAGCGUUAAUCGGAAUUACUGGGCGUAAAGCGCGCGUAGGCGGUCUGAUAAGCCGGUUGUGAAAGCCCCGGGCUCAACCUGGGAACGGCAUCCGGAACUGUGAGGCUAGAGUGCAGGAGAGGAAGGUAGAAUUCCCGGUGUAGCGGUGAAAUGCGUAGAGAUCGGGAGGAAUACCAGUGGCGAAGGCGGCCUUCUGGACUGACACUGACGCUGAGGUGCGAAAGCGUGGGUAGCAAACAGGAUUAGAUACCCUUGUAGUC